UCUAGAACUCGAGAUAUGGGCUGAACACUAAACAGUGUCUGGUCUGCAGAACAGAUUCUGACUUCUUUGUUGUUGCUACAAUUUGAACUUGAAAACGGUCAUUUUGAAUCUUAAACUCUCAUGAAAGUUUUAGGCCUAUGUCUUAGCUUUCUAUC
Molecule: non-coding RNA, 155 nt
Organism: Populus trichocarpa (black cottonwood)
Lineage: Eukaryota; Viridiplantae; Streptophyta; Magnoliopsida; Malpighiales; Salicaceae
Source: Rfam